AGGAAUUUACUUGUCUAAUCCCCUGCAUUUUCACAGCAGCCCUAUGAGGUGUGUUCUGUUAUGUUCCUGAAUUGAACAUAAGUAAAGUGAGGUAGAAGUUGCACAGUGAGCAAGAGGAGAGGCCGGACUUCACCCCAGGCCAUCAGAAUCCAGGGUUGAGCUCCGAAGUCUCAUGCUAGUCCAUGGCCCGAGCCUGGGAGGAGGUCACCCCGUGUCAGAGGACCCUUCCCCUGUCCCUGUCUUGUGUCGUGAGGAAGGCCAGACAGGGCCCUAAGUGCUCUGAGCAGCUGGAACUCGUUGGGAUACAAGUGACAGAAAAGCCAACUUUAACCAGGGGAUUUCGGAUUCAAGCUCCUGCACAGUCCAGGGCUACCGCUGGCUCCUGCAAGACUGGGUUCAGGCUCCAUGGCGCCAUCAGGGCCCGAUGCCUCUCUCCCCACACCACUGUCUCCUUGCUCCUUUCACGUUGACUCCUUUCUCUGACAGGCUCCUCCUUCAUGGAUGUAAAAUGGCUGCAGCCCCUCCGGACCUCACAUUGUCUCAGCUUCAGGUCCACUGGGAAGCCACCUGCCUCCGUCCCAGCAUUCCCUGCAAUCAUCUCAUUGGAUCUCACUGGGUCGGAUUGGGUCACAUGUCCAUCCCUCAGCCAAUCACAGUGGCUGGUGGAAUAAAUGCCCUGAUUGGCUUAGGCUUGGGGAAGUCACACGGUCUUGCCUGAGGAGUUCUGGAGCCUUUUCCAAAAGACAAGUCUAAGAGCAGGAAGGGCCCCCUCAGCAGAGAUGCACUGGCGUGGGCUCACCAGGGAGAGGGAAGAGACAACGCUUGGCACAGCCCACAGCACGGCUGCUCAUAAACACUCACAGCCCCUCCGUGUCAGAGGACCUUCCCCACCACUGACAUCAGGCUGGGCCAUGUGACUGCCUUUGUCCAUAAAACUGGAGAGGAAGUGAGGGGCGUGGCUUCUGGGCAGCAGCUUUAGUGCUUCAUGAGUUAUUCGUCACGUUCUCUCUCCCUCCCUCUGAGCAGCAGGAAGUGCAGAUGGCGAGGACGAGACGCCCAGCCAAGGGACAAUGGACGAAGAGCGUGAGGGACGGCCGGUGUCAUCGUUGGAGCUUCCUAAGACUCCCAGAGGCUGAUGCACCUCCCAGACCCGCCUCCGCCCGGCUCCCUGGGCCCUGCUCCAGGGGCUUCAUUGCUCCCUGCCCCGGGUCACCCCUCGGCUCACCGUCUCUCAGGUGUGGAAUAUCCUGCUCCAAUCAAAGCCAUGUCACCUGCGUUGUCCAGUGAAACGUCAGCGGACAGGCGCUGCCCGGGCUCCAGGGAGCUCCUCACUGAGGCUCACUCCCUGUGCCUCUGCCAUCAGCACAGGGGGACAUGCCUGGCUGCCUGUGGGACCAGGGAGGACGCGCGGUGCGGGAGCAGAGCCAGCCACACUGCCGCUGCUGCACUGUUCAUCUGAGUGGCGCAAGGUGAGCUGACACCCGUUGGACCCUCAGACCCCUGAGCCAGCCCCACUGAGAUCUGAGCCACCGCGGCCAAACUGCAGUCACCUGGGAAGGAAGCCCCGCGUUCCGCCCCUGAGAUGUGCGGCACUUUGCUGUGCAGCAGCUUCCUGGCACUGCUGGACCUGUCUUGAAGGCUCUUUUGGCCGGAAAUGGAUGGGCAGGGAUCUGAGAGCACCUGCUAUCGGGUGAGUCCUGCUUUACUCAUGUCAGAGAUUUAGACUAAAACAAACACAAAAUGCAACAAAGACCUAAGUGUAAGAGCUAAAAGUAUAAAACUCUUAUAAAAAAAGUAAGUGUAAAUUUUCAUGGUCUUGGAUUAGGUAGCACUCUCUUAGAUGUGCUAUCAGAAGCACAUACAACCACAGGAAAAAAAAUACAUAAAUUGAAUUUCAUCAAAAUUUAAAACUUUUGUGCAUUAAAGUUCAUGAUCAAAAAAGCGAGAAGAAAACCCAGAGAAUGAGUGAAAUAUUUGCAAAUCAUACAUCUGGGACAAGUAUCCAGAAUAUAUAAAAAUUCUUAGAACUCAACAAUAUAAAGAAAAAUAACCAAAUUAAACAGUAGGCAAAGGAUUCGAAGAGACCUUUGUCCAAAGAAGAUACACAAAUGACCAAUGAGUACGUGAAAAGAUACUCAGCAGCUACUCAUUAUGGAAGUACCACUUUCCACUCAUGCUGAGGGCUAUAAUAAAAAACAAAACAGAAAUGACAAGUGCAGUGAAGAUGUGGAGAAACUGGAUUUCUCAUAGAUUGCUGGUGGGAAAGUAACAUGGUGCAACCAAUGUAGAAACAGUUUGGCAGUUCCUUAAAAAAUUAAACAGAGCUACCAUCUGACCCGGCUUCUGCUCCUAGGUAUUUAUACACAAGGGAAUUGCAGACAUAUGUUCACACCAAAACUAGUAUGAGAAUGUUCAUAGCAGCAUUAUUCACAGUACCCAAAAAGUGGGAACAACCCCAAUGCCCAUUGAAAGACGAAUGAAUAAACAAAGCAUGGUGUGUUCACACCAUGGAAUGUGCCUGUGUCCUCAGCCAUGGAGAGAAUGAAGCACUGACACAGGCCACCAUGCGGCUGCACCUCAAAAACAUAAUGCCAGAAGAAAGAAGGCACACACCAUGGCCAUGUGUUUUAUGAUCCUACUCAUAGAAAACGUCCAGAGCAGCCAGCACUACAGAGACAGAAAGCAGAUUCAUGGUUGCCAGGAGCUGGAGGUGAGGGAUAGAAAAUAGGGAGUGACCUGGAAUGUGCAUAUAAUUUUGAGGGUGGGGUCAGGUACUUGUCUGUUCUCACAUUGCCAUAAGGAAAUCCCCGAGACCAGGUAAUUUAUAAAGGAAAGAGGUUUAAUUGACUUAGUUCCACAUUGCUGUGGAGGCCUCAGGAAGCUUACAAUCAUGGCGGAAUGCACCUCUUCACAGGGCUGCAGGAGAGAGAAUGAGCACCAGCAGGGGAAAUGUGAUACUUAUAAAACCAUCAGAGACUCACUCAUUAUCACGAGAAUGACAUGGGGGAAACCACCCCCCUGACUCAAUCACCUCCCACUGGGUCCCUCCCGUGACAUGUGGGGAUUAUGGGGAUGAGAUUUGGGUGGGGACACAGCCAAAUCAAGAUGAGAUUUGGGUGGGGCACAGCCAAACCAUAUCAGGUAGUGAUGAAAAUACUCUGGAAUUAGAUAGUGGUGACUGUUGCAUAAACUUAGGAAUGUACUAGAAAUACUAACUUGUGCAGUUUGAGAUGGUGAAUUCUAUGGUAUGUGAAUGAUUUAAGUUUUUAAAGCGUAAAAAAUAGAAGAAUUGAGCAACUGGACACAUUGGGGGUGCAGGCGUGGGCAGGGCAGGCCCAGCGUUUGCACUCGGGGGAGCAGGAAACAGUCCCCACCUCUGAGGUCCCUGCGCCUGAGAGGCCUGAGUGAGGUUUUCAUUUCUUCCUCGGACAGGGAGGCAAGGGCAGCGGUGGGUGGCCAGUGCGGGGCGGUGCGGGCUCCUCUCCUGGGCUUGGCUGCCUCCUGCACAGAAACUGUCCCUCCCUGGCUGUCUUCUGAUGCCUAAUUCCCUGGGUAUCCCAGGCGCCUGAUUUCUCCUUCAGGAACCUUGGUCAGUUCUGUUCCUGCCCUGAGAUGCCUCACCUAGAGAGGCCUCCCCAGUCCCAGCCCCCUGGGUCAAGGCCCCCAGCCCAACGCGGCCCCUCUGACAUCUCCGGAAAAAGCCCUGCUCCCACAGAGAGGGGCCACCUGCCCUACAAUUUUUCCUUUUUAAAUUAACUUUCCCGACAUUUUCCUGUUCUAAGCACAACUCAUCAUUGGAGGAAAUUUAGAGAAUGUACACUGUACAGUGUAAUACUGUACACUGUACAAGUAUUAAAUAAAAGGAAAAAUGUCCUUCUCUAUGGCCAAAUCUUUCCCAAGUUACACAAAUACAGACAAGUGAUAUGUUUUUCUUUGUUAACAAAAAAUGUAACCACUACGUCCAGGUUAUUCUUUUUUUUUUUUUUUUUUUUUUGAGACGGAGUCCUGCUCUGUCGCCCAGGCUGCAGUGCAGUGGCGCG
Molecule: long non-coding RNA, 4040 nt
Filed under: Homo sapiens (human)
Lineage: Eukaryota; Metazoa; Chordata; Mammalia; Primates; Hominidae
Description: HSALNT0197537
Source: RNAcentral